This 954-nucleotide long non-coding RNA is filed under the name Sus scrofa (pig). RNAcentral's name for it is "lncRNA (ENSSSCG00050024217.1)". Lineage: Eukaryota; Metazoa; Chordata; Mammalia; Artiodactyla; Suidae. The record is from RNAcentral.
UCAUCAGGUCUGGCUAAAAUGGAAUUGUAAAAUAUCAGACUUCUUUGUUUUUUUUAGACAGGAAUUUUUUUUAUUAAAAUAUUGUUGAUUUACAAUGUUGUGCCAAUUUCUGCUGUACAGCAAAGUGACUCAGAUAUAUGUGUGUGUGUGUAUAUAUAUGAAUUCCUUUCUUUUUAAAAAUUAUAGUUGAUUUACAGUGUUGGGUCACUUUCUGCUGUAUAGCAUAGGGAUCCAGUAAUACAUAUCUACACAUUUUAUCCUCAUAUUAUCCUCCAUCAUGUUCUAUCCCAAGAGAUUGGAUGUAGUUCCCUGUGCUGUACAGUAGGACCUCAUUGCUUAUGCAUUCUAAGUACAAUACUUUGCAUCCACCAACCCCAAACUCCCAGUCCAUCCCACUCCUUCUCCUCUUCUCCCUGGCAACCACAAGUCUGUUCUCUAUGUCUGUGAGUCUGCUUCUGUUCUGUAGAUAGAGUUCUAAUGGACCUUACAAAUCAUUUGGUCCAACCCCUUCCGUUUAUAGGUAAAGGACGUCAAAUGUUAGCAGUUAAACCCUGGGUGAGGACCGGACCCAGGUGCCCUGACUCCUGCUCAUCUUUCGGCCGGACUUCUCCCUUGAGGGGCCCUUCUCAGAUGGCUGGUGCAAAGACCAACAACCUCCACCUGCUCUGUCAGCUGACCAUGGAGACGGAAGGAGGCUGUCUCGCCCUGAUCCCUAGCAUAGCAGGGUCCAAAUAGGUAAAUGGUGGGAGCAAGUCCUUGGCCCUGAAUCAACACUUCAUCCUGGCUAAGGAGCAUCAUCAUGCGUGAAUCUUCUUAGAUGUCUCCUGACCUGAGCCCCACCCCUGGACGUUCUGAUUCCAGUUCAAAGAUGAAGUCAUACAUCCAUGGCAUCGAGGUACACAGUUUUGGAGAAAGGCAUUUGUCAUGUCAAAACAACAUGAAGACACAUCAUUG